GGACUGUGGCUCUGUGGUAGAGCACUUGCCUAGCAUGCAUGAGGCACUGGGUUAGAUCCCCAGCACCA
Molecule: transfer RNA, 68 nt
Filed under: Marmota monax (woodchuck)
Lineage: Eukaryota; Metazoa; Chordata; Mammalia; Rodentia; Sciuridae
Description: tRNA.Ala
Rfam family: tRNA (bases 5-65)
About the family: Transfer RNA (tRNA) molecules are approximately 80 nucleotides in length.
Source: RNAcentral